ACUAGACUCUGGAAGAACCAGGAAACAGAGAUGAGUUUAUCAAGAUUGCUUAGAUGAUCCUGAAACGCAGACAAGUAUUGGGAAACAUCUACUCACUAAAGAAGGACGCUGGGGAGGGAAAAUCCAUUUCCCAGGAGUCCCCAGGUUUGUAAAGUACUUAAUGAACACGGAGCUGCUCUUGUUGGUCCAUGAAUCACACCCCCGCCCCCCCAGACCCCGUUUUGUGCCUCUGUAGGAACAUAUCCAAAUCAGCGGUAAGAACUGGUAACCGCCCGCGCCCGCGAGGAGGGGGAAGGUGGAUGAGCCGCUGUUGGGCUUUUUGAAGUCUCACAACUGCAUCCUAAUGGAGCGUGCUGAGCAAACCGCUUCCUCCCAAGAUUUAAGAUCAAAAGCGUCUCAGCGAGCGAAUAAAAGACUCCACAUCCUCUCUGAGAGUCCGGUUCUCCCGGCACUUAACAGAUUCAAUAUGCAGGACGGCGCGCGAGGGCGUCCUUCGCUGGGGACCCGGCACGGCCAAGAACACAUUCCUCACCUUGUUCAUAAUCCCCGUUCAUUAGCCCGUGAACGUGGCCAACUUCCAACUACAAUCAUUCCACUCGGCCCUGGCGACGCCUUUCCUGGAACUCUAAAUGGGCAUCAGUCUUCCCUGCUGGCCUGGGCUUCGAGGGAGCUUCCUGGAGCUGGUGGGCAGCCCACGGGGGUCUGCAGGCAUGAAAGGAAAAACUGA
This 727-nucleotide long non-coding RNA is filed under the name Oryctolagus cuniculus (rabbit). RNAcentral describes it as "lncRNA (ENSOCUG00000031916.1)". The record is from RNAcentral. Lineage: Eukaryota; Metazoa; Chordata; Mammalia; Lagomorpha; Leporidae.